Non-coding RNA from Odocoileus virginianus texanus, 1499 nucleotides. Lineage: Eukaryota; Metazoa; Chordata; Mammalia; Artiodactyla; Cervidae. The record is from RefSeq and is a predicted model, not a curated record.
AAGCGCCACAGGAUUGUCAAAUUAAGGAGUCCCCAGGAGCCCUGGUCCCCCAAGUGGGAGAGUGAAAAUAACCGUCUGUGAAGAGGAUCCUGGAAGUACCCGUCUGAGCCCAGAGGCACUGUGUAGAGAUGGCUGAGUCAUAGAAAAUCAUGGAAACAACUUUUGUUCAACUCAAGGAUCUUCCUGCUUAAGAGCAAUUAAAUUCCCAGAUGAAGUAAGCAGUAAAAAAAACAUCUGGAUGAAGUAAAAAACAUCUGGAUGAUGGUAUGUGGGGUUCACUGGACAUUUUGCUUUUGUAUAUAUUUGACAUUUUCAUAAUAAACUAAAAAAUUCCCUGUGGCUAUAAAGCAUACUAUAUAAGUCGUCUCAAACUUCCAUCCACAAGAACAUUACCAAAAUGAAAAGUUUGUCACUCUGAAUAUGCCCGAUUUCAUGGAGAGUUAUUUUUUUGUUUAAUCGUGGAUAAAGAAUAAUUCACACUGGAUACUUGGAUAGCAUACGCAUCAGAUUGGAUGUGACUUGCUAGUUCUGCUGGAAUUUAAUUGCCAGAUAAGAGUGGACUACUGCACACUGACCCAAACUAGUUGUUGUGUUAGCUUAUUUAUUUAUACUAAAUUUUACCACAAAAAAUGCAUAAAGAGUGCAGAAAUAAACUGUAACACUAUUUUGUCUGAUGGUCUUAAGUUAAAAAUUAGGUGUCACAUUUACAAAGGUGAAAAUAUAGUAAAAUGGAAUGUUGACUUGAAUUCUCUUUUAACUUGGAAGACUUGGGUUUCUUUUCUGGUUAUUUUCCCAACAGAGUGCCAUGGCAGCCAUGUUUUUCUGGGUGUAACCUCUAGGGAUUUCAUUUUGGGGCAGCAUAAGUCUUAACUUCAAAGAAGAUAGUUUUAUCGUUGUCUUAACAGAAGUGAAAAAAAGCUGAAGUGGUCCACAAAAAAAAUUCCAUCUCCUGUCUCUCUCCCCUCCCAGGAAAGGUAUUUUUUUCUGUGUGGUGUACUCUCUCUACAGGUCUUCUAGGAUUUUCUCUAUAGUAGGAAAAUCAUCCUAGACUUUAUGUAUAGAAAGAUUAAUGUCUCAGAUUUUCAGAAUGAUUAUGAAAUUUCACCCUCCUGACUGCACAUUUGCACUUCAUCUCUCACUGAUGUGCUAUGCUGUACUAAGCCACUUCAGUUGUAUCCAACUCUUUGCGACCCUAUGGACUGUAGCCUACCAGGCUCCUCUGUCCAUGGGAUUCUCCAGGCAAGAAUACUGGUGUGGGUUGCCAUUUCCUUCUCCACCAUCUCUUACUGCUAAGUGUUCUCAAUUCAAGAGAUGAAGGCAAAAAGCAAACAGGAUUUGAGUUAUUGAUCAGUUGCUCCUUCCAUGAUUGUAAUUUGCAUUCUAAAAACUAGUGAUUAAAAAAUAAAAUAAGCUCAACUGCUUCUCUCUUCAUUAUAAUAUUAGAAAAGUAGCUUUUUGCAUGAUUUCUAAUUUUUCCUUAAUAAAACCCAAAGCAGAAA